RNAcentral lists this signal recognition particle RNA (97 nucleotides) under Escherichia coli. Its description in RNAcentral is "signal recognition particle sRNA small type". It matches the Rfam family "Bacterial small signal recognition particle RNA". From Rfam's summary of the family: The signal recognition particle (SRP) is a universally conserved ribonucleoprotein involved in the co-translational targeting of proteins to membranes. Archaeal SRP consists of a 7S RNA and homologues of the eukaryotic SRP19 and SRP54 proteins. Lineage: Bacteria; Pseudomonadati; Pseudomonadota; Gammaproteobacteria; Enterobacterales; Enterobacteriaceae. The record is from RNAcentral. RNAcentral also lists the same sequence under 2 other names.
UGUUGGUUCUCCCGCAACGCUACUCUGUUUACCAGGUCAGGUCCGGAAGGAAGCAGCCAAGGCAGAUAACGCGUGUGCCGGGAUGUAGCUGGCAGGG